AUUGAACGCUGGCGGCAGGCCUAACACAUGCAAGUCGAACGAGUGGCGGACGGGUGAGUAAUGUCUGGGAAACUGCCUGAUGGAGGGGGAUAACUACUGGAAACGGUAGCUAAUACCGCAUACCCUCGGAUGUGCCCAGAUGGGAUUAGCUAGUAGGUGGGGUAACGGCUCACCUAGGCGCCGAUCCCUAGCUGGUCUGAGAGGAUGACCGGCGGAACUGGAAACGAGACACGGUCCAGAGUCCUACGGGAGGAAGCAGGGGGGAAUAUUGCACAAUGGGCGAAAGCCUGAUGCAGCCAUGCCGCGUGGAUGAAGAAGGCCUUCGGGUUGUAAAGUACUUUCAGCGGGGAGGCGUUACCCGCAGAAGAAGCACCGGCUAACUCCGUGCCAGCAGCCGCGGUAAUAC
Molecule: ribosomal RNA, 406 nt
Filed under: uncultured bacterium
Lineage: Bacteria
Description: partial 16S ribosomal RNA
Rfam family: Bacterial small subunit ribosomal RNA
Source: RNAcentral